Long non-coding RNA from Alosa sapidissima (American shad), 255 nucleotides. RefSeq lists it as uncharacterized. The transcript is spliced from 3 exons. The record is from RefSeq and is a predicted model, not a curated record. Lineage: Eukaryota; Metazoa; Chordata; Actinopteri; Clupeiformes; Clupeidae.
CAUUUGCCAUUCUGGUAACACUUUAUUUUAAGAUUCACAUGUUAGCCACCAAUACAUACCUAAUUAAUACCUGUAUUAGUGACUUGUAAGGCAUGUGUUAGGCAACAUUAACCAUUUGUUAGGUGUGUAUUCACACAUUUCUUGUUCAUGACGAAUUAGGCCUUUAUUAUUGAUAUAAUCUUAAUAAUGACCUUGUAAGCCUUGAUCUCUACAUACUAAUUAGUAGUAAGUACCAAAAUAGAAUAUGCAUAACCU